RNAcentral lists this ribosomal RNA (675 nucleotides) under Triticum aestivum (bread wheat). Its description in RNAcentral is "partial small subunit ribosomal RNA". The record is from RNAcentral. Lineage: Eukaryota; Viridiplantae; Streptophyta; Magnoliopsida; Poales; Poaceae.
AUGGAGUGCACCCUUAAGACUAUCUUUUGGAACGUUCGUGGCCUUCACUGUAGAUCCAAGCACAUCAAGGUCCGCUUUGUUAUUUCUUCUGCUUCGCCGAACAUCAUGUGCCUGCAAGAAACAAAGCUAGAUUCCUUCUCGUUGCCUAUCGUCGUUGAGACGCUUGGACCCUGCUUCUUGGGUUACUUCUUCCUCCCGGCCAUUGGCACCCGCGGUGGCAUCCUCCUCGCUUGGAACACAAUGAGGUUGCUAUUUCUAGCCCUUAUGUUGGCCAGCACCACAUCACGGCCCUUGUCUCCUCCAUAUCCGGCGCGCACCUGUGGUGGAUCACCGGUGUGUACGAACCACCGGAGGACGAUGUCAACAUCUUGUUCCUCGAGGACCUGCAAGACACUCGUGCAACUUGCACUGGCCCCUGGCUCCUUGGGGGCGACUUCAACCUUGUCUCCUCUUUCGAGGACAAAAGUAACAAGCGUAUCAACAGACGCACUUCUAGCCGAUUUCAUCGCUUCAUCGCCAACAUGGCCCUGCGUGACGUGUACAUGCAUGGUCGUUGCUACACGUGGUCCAAUGAGAGGGAAUCGCACAUGCUUGUGUGUAAUGACUAGUUCCUAUGCACUUUUGGUUGGGGGCUUUCACGACCACACUCCAUCCUCCGGUGCCUUGCCUCGAUAG